UUUUAGAUUUAAUAAUCAGAUUAUAAAUUAGAUCUAAUCUAAAAAAUAAUCUAAGCAUGUAUAAAUAAUCAUGUAAUAAAGAACCUAGGCUCUGAUACCAAUUGUAGGAACCAGAUCUAGGAUUUCAGGGUUAGAUCUUGAAACUUUUUCAAGAUCAUACAGCGGAAGACUAAAAUAAAUCAAAAUUUAUUUUUUAAAAUUAGAGAAUCCUUAGAUCUAAGAUCUUAUUACAUGAUUAUUACAUAGUAUUAAAUCAAAAAUUAAAAUAUAUAAAUAUAGCAUGAACUACAUGUUGAUCAUAUCAACAUGUUUCUAUACCACAUCUAAUGUAUGUAUUAAACAAUAGAUCAGAUCUAUUACCUUGUAAGUUAGAUGCUCUAACCUAGCUGAUCCGGGCUUAAGGAUGAUGUUGCAAGCCGCACACGUGUUCGGCCUCUAGGAGUCAUCCACACGAGCCCACGAAUCUCGAUCAGAAGUC
RNAcentral lists this long non-coding RNA (478 nucleotides) under Elaeis guineensis (African oil palm). Its description in RNAcentral is "long non-coding RNA (EGUI_LNC056440)". Lineage: Eukaryota; Viridiplantae; Streptophyta; Magnoliopsida; Arecales; Arecaceae. The record is from RNAcentral.